This 386-nucleotide ribosomal RNA is filed under the name uncultured bacterium. Its description in RNAcentral is "bacterial SSU rRNA". It matches the Rfam family "Bacterial small subunit ribosomal RNA", at positions 30 to 416 of the family's 1533-position model. The record is from RNAcentral.
AUUGAACGCUGGCGGCAUGCCUUACACAUGCAAGUCGAACGGCAGCACGGACUUCGGUCUGGUGGCGAGUGGCGAACGGGUGAGUAAUAUAUCGGAACAUGCCCUAGAGUGGGGGAUAACGUAGCGAAAGUUACGCUAAUACCGCAUACGAACUAAGGUUGAAAGUGGGGGAUCGCAAGACCUCAUGCUCAUGGAGUGGCCGAUAUCUGAUUAGCUAGUUGGUGAGGUAAAGGCUCACCAAGGCGACGAUCAGUAGCUGGUUUGAGAGAACGACCAGCCACACUGGAACUGAGACACGGUCCAGACUCCUACGGGAGGCAGCAGUGGGGAAUUUUGGACAAUGGGCGCAAGCCUGAUCCAGCAAUGCCGCGUGAGUGAAGAAGGCC